CCUACGGGCGGCAGCAGUGGGGAAUAUUGCACAAUGGGGGAAACCCUGAUGCAGCGACGCCGCGUGAGUGAAGAAGUAAUUCGUUAUGUAAAGCUCUAUCAGCAGGGAAGAAAAUGACGGUACCUGAGUAAGAAGCCCCGGCUAACUACGUGCCAGCAGCCGCAGUAAUACAUAGGGGGCAAGCGUUAUCCGGAUUUACUGGGUGUAAAGGGGGCGUAGACGGCAGUGCAAGUCUGGAGUGAAAGGCGGGGGCUCAACCCCCGGACUGCUCUGGAAACUGUACGGCGGGAGUGCAGGAGAGGGAAGUGGAAUUACUAGUGUAGGGGUGAAAUGCGUAGAUAUUAGGAGGAACACCAGUGGCGAAGGCGACUUACUGGACUGUAACUGACGUUGAGGCUCGAAAGCGUGGGGAGCAAACAGGAUUAGAUACCCCAGUAGUC
This 440-nucleotide ribosomal RNA is filed under the name uncultured bacterium. RNAcentral's name for it is "partial 16S ribosomal RNA". It matches the Rfam family "Bacterial small subunit ribosomal RNA", at positions 338 to 795 of the family's 1533-position model. The record is from RNAcentral.